AUGAGCUUUGCCUAGCCAGUCCUGCCAGCUGCUAGCCUGAAAUGAAGUUACAUCCAAGUCAUUAACUCCCAAAAGGGAUGCUACAGAGACCUAGCACAUGGAGGCGAACGGCUUGACCUAUUAGACAAUGCUACCAUUUCAAGAAUCCAAGAUGUCUGGAGCAGAGGGCACUGAUGGUGAUUGCUUCUGAAGGUUUUGCUUGGAUUGUUCUCUAAUCAAUAUUAAAGCAGCAUGUCUCACUCAA
Long non-coding RNA from Thamnophis elegans (Western terrestrial garter snake), 244 nucleotides. RefSeq lists it as uncharacterized. The transcript is spliced from 2 exons. Lineage: Eukaryota; Metazoa; Chordata; Lepidosauria; Squamata; Natricidae. The record is from RefSeq and is a predicted model, not a curated record.